RNAcentral lists this long non-coding RNA (525 nucleotides) under Mus caroli (Ryukyu mouse). Its description in RNAcentral is "lncRNA (MGP_CAROLIEiJ_G0002857.1)". The record is from RNAcentral. Lineage: Eukaryota; Metazoa; Chordata; Mammalia; Rodentia; Muridae.
AGGUCCAUGCAUGUGAGCCAAUGGGGAUGUGGGGCAAGAUGAAGACAGACCUGAGCUUCGGGGACAGGAGCAGUGGCCUAUCAUCUCUCCUUGGUGUCUCUGCUAUUGAAAACACUUGUCCUGAAGAUGGGGACCACCUGAAGAGAUGCCUAGGGAACAGACCCCCCUUAAAAUUUGACAAGGAUAUAUCCUGGGACCUAGGUCCAGCUGUAUUCGAGCUUGGAGAUUCAGACUCAGGCUCCCACGCUUGUGUGGCAAGUGCCAUAUCUGCUGAGCUCUUCUAUCUCUCUGAUUCUCUGGAGAUCUAAUGAAUCCAGGUGGGAGGCUUGCCUGCCUGGCUCGGGUGAAAUCUUGGAUGGACAGGGGGAGACCAGCCCCUUGUGACCCCAGGCACACACAGCCCUGCUAAUCCGUUUCAUCUCAGGCCCCCUGUCCAGGCCCUCAACUGACAUCUUGCUCCCAACUACACUCAGCUUUGCUUCCUUGACCUGCCUUACCUGGCUCCUUAGCGCUGACCUGCACCCC